This 253-nucleotide ribosomal RNA is filed under the name uncultured bacterium. RNAcentral's name for it is "partial 16S ribosomal RNA". It matches the Rfam family "Bacterial small subunit ribosomal RNA", at positions 524 to 776 of the family's 1533-position model. The record is from RNAcentral.
UACGUAGGGUCCGAGCGUUGUCCGGAGUUACUGGGCGUAAAGCGCGCGCAGGCGGUCCCGCGCGCCCGGCGUGAAAUCCCCGGGCUUAACCUGGGAACUGCGCUUGUGACUGCGAGGCUGGAGUGCGGAAGAGGGAGGUGGAAUUCCACGUGUAGCAGUGAAAUGCGUAGAGAUGUGGAGGAACACCGAUGGCGAAGGCAGCCUCCUGGUCCAGCACUGACGCUCAUGCACGAAAGCGUGGGGAGCAAACAGG